UCUUAAAAGCUCUGUAAAGCAAGAAGAAAAGCACUGCUGUUUAGGGAUUAAUUGUUGGUUGAAGGUGCAAAUUAGAUAUGAAUAUAGACAUCUCUAGCACAACUAUCUGAAAAUAUAAUUCAUCUAGACACAAUAAAUGAACAUGACAAUGAAAAAGGCAUCUAUGCAAUUAACACAGGAUAGAAAUGCACAAAAGAUAUUACUGUAUUUUGUACUUUACACAUGUGUUUUCCUUGACAGUGAGCGGAACACCUGUGCUUACUUGGAUAUCCCACUAUGGCAAUCACAGUAGCAUGCAGUGGAUGUGCAAUCAUUUUUUAGCUGAAUGGGAUUAACCUGAGACCUAAGAAAACCACCAACUUGGCAACUGAGUCCUGACUAGCCAGGGGUUAAUGCUCUAAGGGGAAAUGGAAAUAAUAAAAAAUGAAAUUCUAAGAUUCUCAAAUGCAUUUAAGUGCUCUUAUGAAAAAUAACAACCAAACAUGCUAAUUCUCAAGUUGCUGAUGUUAUAUACUAAAGCUAACUUUACAUGUCACAAUGAAUGCAACAAAAGACAGAUUCUACCUUGUUGGAGAGACACUAGAUUGAUAGCCACACUCACAGGUGUAUUUAUUUCUUCUGGAUACAGAGCUUGGAAGCUGCACAUGACAUUUACUACCUUUUUAUAGGAUACUGCAUCAAACAUUGCCUGUAUUUCAGUAGGAGUUUCUGCUGGUUUAAAAAUGGAGUGGGAUGAAUUCAGUGAAUUUCUUGUGAUUGCUUCAAAACAUACAUCCAAAAACUGGUCAUCCUAAG
Molecule: long non-coding RNA, 795 nt
Organism: Heterocephalus glaber (naked mole-rat)
Lineage: Eukaryota; Metazoa; Chordata; Mammalia; Rodentia; Bathyergidae
Source: RefSeq, a predicted model, not a curated record